UACGUAGGGUGCGAGCGUUAAUCGGAAUUACUGGGCGUAAAGCGUGCGCAGGCGGCUUUGCAAGACAGAUGUGAAAUCCCCGGGCUCAACCUGGGAACUGCAUUUGUGACUGCAAGGCUAGAGUACGGCAGAGGGGGAUGGAAUUCCGCGUGUAGCAGUGAAAUGCGUAGAUAUGCGGAGGAACACCAAUGGCGAAGGCGGCUCACUGGACCUGUACUGACGCUCAUGCACGAAAGCGUGGGGAGCAAACAGG
This 253-nucleotide ribosomal RNA is filed under the name uncultured bacterium. RNAcentral's name for it is "partial 16S ribosomal RNA". It matches the Rfam family "Bacterial small subunit ribosomal RNA", at positions 524 to 776 of the family's 1533-position model. The record is from RNAcentral.